RNAcentral lists this ribosomal RNA (460 nucleotides) under uncultured bacterium. RNAcentral describes it as "partial 16S ribosomal RNA". It matches the Rfam family "Bacterial small subunit ribosomal RNA", at positions 338 to 795 of the family's 1533-position model. The record is from RNAcentral.
CCUACGGGUGGCUGCAGUGAGGAAUAUUGGUCAAUGGGCGCGAGCCUGAACCAGCCAAGUAGCGUGAAGGAUGACGGCCCUACGGGUUGUAAACUUCUUUUAUAAAGGAAUAAAGUGAGGGACGUGUGCCGUUUUGUAUGUACUUUAUGAAUAAGGAUCGGCUAACUCCGUGCCAGCAGCCGCGGUAAUACGGAGGAUCCGAGCGUUAUCCGGAUUUAUUGGGUUUAAAGGGAGCGUAGAUGGGUUGUUAAGUCAGUUGUGAAAGUUUGCGGCUCAACCGUAAAAUUGCAAUUGAUACUGGCAGUCUUGAGUACAGUUGAGGUAGGCGGAAUGCGUGGUGUAGCGGUGAAAUGCUUAGAUAUCACGAAGAACUCCGAUUGCGAAGGCAGCAUACCGGCUCCAUACUGACGCUGAGGCACGAAAGCGUGGGGAUCGAACAGGAUUAGAUACCCCUGUAGUC